AUGAACUCAUCUCCCGGCUCUACCCACAGCAAGAUCACAAGCAAUGGAACCACAAUCAAUCACGGGAAAAGCACAGACAACAUGAUGCAAAACAUGCAUGAUAUGCGAUGCAUAUGCGUGCUCCGGAAGAAAAAAGGAUGA
RNAcentral lists this ribosomal RNA (141 nucleotides) under Triticum aestivum (bread wheat). RNAcentral's name for it is "partial small subunit ribosomal RNA". Lineage: Eukaryota; Viridiplantae; Streptophyta; Magnoliopsida; Poales; Poaceae. The record is from RNAcentral.